UACGUAGGGGGCUAGCGUUGUCCGGAUUUAUUGGGCGUAAAGAGCGUGUAGGCGGCCAGGUAGGUCUGCUGUGAAAACUCGAGGCUCAACCUCGAGACGUCGGCGGAAACCAUCUGGCUAGAGUCCGGAAGAGGAGAGUGGAAUUCCUGGUGUAGCGGUGAAAUGCGCAGAUAUCAGGAAGAACACCCGUGGCGAAGGCGACUUCCUGGCCUGUUCUUGACGCUGAGGCGCGAAAGCUAGGGGAGCAAACGGG
RNAcentral lists this ribosomal RNA (253 nucleotides) under uncultured bacterium. Its description in RNAcentral is "partial 16S ribosomal RNA". It matches the Rfam family "Bacterial small subunit ribosomal RNA", at positions 524 to 776 of the family's 1533-position model. The record is from RNAcentral.